RNAcentral lists this ribosomal RNA (2106 nucleotides) under Triticum aestivum (bread wheat). RNAcentral describes it as "partial small subunit ribosomal RNA". Lineage: Eukaryota; Viridiplantae; Streptophyta; Magnoliopsida; Poales; Poaceae. The record is from RNAcentral.
AUGGAGGAACUCGCAAAAGAACUUGGUACCCCUGUUAAGUUUCAACGCCUCUGGUUGUGCCAGCGACGGCAAAACGGAACACGCCGCCCUAGCAGACCAUUGAAUUCCAAAGAAAAGAAACUAUCUAUCGGAAGGGUUUUUUCGGCUGAUGUGAAGCUGUUUUUGGAGGUGCUCAAUCCUUGUUCUCCACGAAAUCUAAACAGGGAAUAUCUAUUGGUGUUUUUAAAGUUCUAUGACCCAGAACAAACACAGCUGCGAUAUAUCGGAACGCUGUUUGUGAGUUGUUCAUCAAGGCCUUUAGAUAUUCUCCCAAAACUAAGAAGUUUAGCUGGUUUUUGUGCAGACGAGGAAAUAGAAUUGUAUGAGGAAAUCAAAUUCGAACCAAAUGUGAUGUGUGAAGCCUUAGACAUUCAUCAUACCUUUACAGUCAACCAGAUUGAAAAUGGUGACAUCAUCUGCUUCCAGAAAAGACCCAAGUCAUGCAACCAGCAUUUAUACCCUUCUGUUAAAUUGUUCCUCGAACAUGUUCAUAAACUGACGAAAGAAGGAAGGAAGAUAUGUGCUCUAGAAGAGGAGAUUGUUGAAUUCAGACGUCUUUCUGAUCUUAAUAUAGCGGCAAACUUGGAAUGUACUCAGUUGAGACAUGAACGAGACAAUGCAAUGCUACAGGUGGAUGAGUUUCGGGGUCAGAAUGAUUUAGUUCGCCUUCAAAUAGAAGAGGCAAAAAAAGAGUGUAACCAGUUGAGACAUGAACUAGACAAUGCAAUGCAACAGGUGAACGAGUUUCGCGGUCAGAAUGAUUUAGUUCGCCUUCAAAUAGAAGAGGCAAAAAAAGAGUGUAACCAGUUGAGACAUGAACGAGACAAUGCAGUGCGACAGAUAGAUGCAUUACUGAAUCAGAAUACUGUGGGUCGCAUCCAAAUAGAAGAGGCAAAAAUGGAAUGUAGUCAGUUAAAGCAUGAACGAGAUAAUGCAGUUCGACAGGUGGAUGAAUUAUGGGAUAGGAACUCUCAAUUUAUUCUCGAGUUCCGCUUUACAUGUUUGGAACAAGCAACAGAGCAUUUCAAGGACCUGUGCAAGAUCGGGGACACUGAAUAUGGAUGUGUGUAUAAAGGCAUUAUAAACAACACUACGGUAGCAAUCAAGCUGUCCAAAUCCGAGAGUUUGUUUCAACAAGAGGUCUCUGUUCUUCGUCAAGGAGGGAGACAUGCAAACAUUGUCACCUUUGUUGGAAUGUGCUCUGAAGUUUCGGCUCUUGUGUACGAGUGGUUACCUAAGGGAAACCUUGAAGACCGCAUUUUGUGUGCCGAUGACACUCCACCUCUAUCAUGGCACAUCCGUACACAGAUCAUCGGUGAGGUUUGCUGUGCACUACUCUUCCUUCAUUCACACAAGCCUAAUGCCUCGGUCCACGGUGAUCUCCGGCCUUGCAACAUCCUCAUCGGUGCUGACUACAGAAGCAAGCUCUACAACUUUGGUAUGUCCACCUUAUUUCUCCAGCCUGGCAGCUGUCCACCAAACCUAACAGCAAGGCUUCCGUACACGGAUCCGGAGUUCCUCACCAUUGGGGACCUCACACCCCUUUCUGAUGUCUACUCACUGGGUGUUGUUAUCCUUCGCCUUUUGACUGGAAUGCCCCCUUUGGCUAUCGCAAAGAAAGUUAGAGAAGCAUUUCAAAGUGAUAACCUGCACUUGCUGAUAGAUAAAUCAGCCGGGGACUGGCCUUACACACAAGCCAAGCAGUUAGCACUCCUUGGCCUUAGGUGUGUAGAAAUGACGAGGGAAAAGCGGCCUCAUCUGACUGAGGUUUGGACCGUUGUUGAGGCCCUGGUCAGAAAGCCUCCUGCACCCUCAUGCCCUGCCCACUUCAUUUGUCCAAUCCUCCAGGAGAUCAUGAACGAUCCUCAAAUGGCAUCAGAUGGAUUUACCUAUGAAGCGGAAGCCAUAAGACGCUGGCUUGAUGGCGGGAGCAAUAGGUCUCCGAUGACGAACUUGGCACUUCCAAAUCGUGUUCUCAUCCCUAAUCGCGCCCUCCGUUCUUCCAUCCAGGAGUACCUUCAGGCGUCAGUAGCGAAGGCAGUCAGGUCCCUGAACCUCAAUCAUUGA